Molecule: ribosomal RNA, 492 nt
Filed under: uncultured bacterium
Lineage: Bacteria
Description: partial 16S ribosomal RNA
Rfam family: Bacterial small subunit ribosomal RNA
Source: RNAcentral
AGUGAACGCUGGCGGUAGGCCUAACACAUGCAAGUCGAACGGCAGCACAGUAAGAGCUUGCUCUUACGGGUGGCGAGUGGCGGACGGGUGAGGAAUACAUCGGAAUCUACUUUUUCGUGGGGGAUAACGUAGGGAAACUUACGCUAAUACCGCAUACGACCUACGGGUGAAAGCAGGGGAUCUUCGGACCUUUCGCGAUUGAAUGAGCUGAUUUCGGAUUAGAUAGUUGGCGGGGUAAAGGCCCACCAAGGCGACGAUCCGUAGCUGGUCUGAGAGGAUGAUCAGCCACACUGGAACUGAGACACGGUCCAGACUCCUACGGGAGGCAGCAGUGGGGAAUAUUGGACAAUGGGCGCAAGCCUGAUCCAGCCAUACCGCGUGGGUGAAGAAGGCCUUCGGGUUGUAAAGCCCUUUUGUUGGGAAAGAAAAGCAGCAGGUUAAUACCCCGCUGUUCUGACGGUACCCAAAGAAUAAGCACCGGCUAACUUCGUG